UCCAUACACUUGGAUCUUUUGCACGUCCGAGGGCUUGGUGAUUGCAGGUAACCCCUUCAGUAUGGCUAGCGAUUCCGCAAGCUUGUCCGAUGGUUGGAUCUGAGCAAGUCGCCAAAAGUCGCCAUAGAAUAGAGCAAGCGAUGAAAGGGUAAUCACAGCCUUAUUGACCCAGGAGUAGCUUGACAGCUCAUGAAAGAUCGAGAUCAUCGUUUCACGCACAUUUUUGGUGUCUAAUGCCUUGCAUGUGAUCUGAUAACAUGAUGUUGAUAAUGUUGAUAAAUGGGAUUAGUUAUUACCAAGCUCAAAACAGUAAAAAAUAGCCAAAGCAACAGCAAUUCUUCACUUAACGAAAAUAAAUUGUUAGAAGGGACAUAGUAACAUACCUCACAAGCCACUUCGUUGAUUGCGGCUAGGGGUGGAUUGAAGCCUUCUUUUGGUGGCUUGAAUGCAGGGCCUCCAGAUCCUUGAGUGCCCUAUAGUGUAUGCAUAUGUAAGACUUAUUGUUAGAGAGGGAGAGAGGAAGGGAGGUACUAAUUAAACGAAAUUAUGAGAUUUUUUUUUUAACUGCUAAACUAAGGAAAUCCACAGUUAUAUCAUAGAAAUUAUGUAUAGAGAUAUGAUCAGAAUUUAUAUCUAAAAAAUCGUCAGUUUUUAUUAAAAAAGUCACUAGUGAUGAAGGUAUAUAUUAAGGUGCAAUUGUUUCGUGUAAAAUUUAAAAAACUUUAAACAUUUUAAGAAUGAUUUUUGCCUUAUUAUUAUCAUUGAUAAUAAUAAAAUUUUAUCUGAUUGAUUUUGUAAGUGUUAUAGAUUCCUCAAUUUUCAGAAAAAGCUUAUUAAAUCAUACUAAACAAAAGAAUUCUAAAGGUAAAACUAAAAGAAUGAUUGUCCAAACCCUACGGAAAUAGGGAAUAAAUGAACGCCCUUAACAAAAUACAGCUAUAAUAAAUUAAAUGAGUAACAACUUAUCAUGAGGCCAAUUUAAUCCCUUAUGCCAUAUUGACUAUCGUGUCGUUGAAUGAAGAAUGAAUAGAUCAAUAAAAAGCCUCACAAAAAUUGACUGCAAGUGCUAGUGGAUUGCUUCCUGGUUAAGAAAAGUGAUUUUUUUAGCGAAUAUCAUUUAACUUUACGGUUAGAAGAUUCUCUAGCCAUUCGACCUUUUGCAACAUAGUACACAUAAAUGGAAGAGCGGAUGCGAAACAUGAAAAUUCGAUAUAUUUUUAGGGGGAUGAUAAUUGAUGGCUGUCUUUUCUCUUGAGCCAUCAAUAGUUCUACUUAGGGCGCGUUUGGUAACGUUUUUGUUCCUGGGAAAAAAUAUAAAUUUUAUUUUAUUUUAUUUCUGGGAAUAACUUUUAAGCAUUUUAAACCUUUUGAUAACUAUAUAAAAUUUUAAUUAUCGAAAUAGAAUUGUGUUUGGCAUUGUCCUCAAAAUUGCUACUUCAAAUAAUUUUUUUUUUAAUUUUUAGAUAAUUUUAUUAUUAUUAUUAUUAAUUUUAAUUUCUUUCUCCCCUUCUUCUUCUUCAAGGUUGCUGGCAACAUCACUAGAGUGUCCCCGGCCCUCGGUGAGGUCGUGCCUCAUCAGUUGAGCCUCGCCGACAGUUAGGCAAGGCUCAGCUGAGCUUUGGUUGGGUGAGUGGCCUCGCCAGUGGCUGGAAGAGGCCUAGCAAGGCUCGCCUGGCCACCAGCGAGGCUCGGCCUCACUUGAUUUGAUGAGGCUAAGCCUUGCUUGCUGGUGGCUAGGCGAGCCUCCGGUGAGCUUGUCGGACCUUGUCCUAGUCUGGCGAGCUAUGGCGAGCCUCCAACGAGCUCGCCAGACUAGUCACCGGCGAUUGGCGACAGUGAGCGGCAUACGGUGGAUGGCGGCAAGAGCAAUUGAAGAAGAAGAAAGAGGGAAUAAGAACAAGAAAAAAGAAAAGAAAAGAGAGAAAAUAAGUGCUUGAUUCUAAAAUUGUUCCCAGAAAUAAAUAAUCAACUUUUUUUUUAAUUCUCGAUUCUGUUUCAAAUCAAUUUCCGAGAACAAAAAAAGAAAAAUUUGUUUUCAAUAACAAAAUUUUCACCAAACGCAUUUUUAUUCGAAAUCUACUCCUACAUACAAAAGAAUUGAAAUUUUCACUACCGGGCAAAUUAAUAAAUAGACUCUUAUAAAAAUAAGAUUAAUUAAUUCUGUCCGAUGCAAUUUUCAGAUCAAUUGCUUUAUCUUUCUCGUUUGUCCUUGGCCAUGUCAAAAGAUAAAAAAAGCAAGUAGAAAAAGGGCCAAGCGGGGUGGACAACCAACGUGCUUUUGCCCAUAGCUAAAUAAUGCAUGUCUAUCAUAUCGAUUGCUUUCCGACCAAAAAAAAAAAAAUCAUAUCGAUUGCUUUAUCUUUAUCUUUUCAUCCUGGCGAAGUCAAGGCAGAAGCAAGUACAGCAUGAUCUAGAGAGAGAGAGAGAGAGAGAGGGAGACCGGGAGAGAUGUCACGUCAGUCCCUUCUGUCCUUGUUAGAUUGGAUAGUCUUCAUCAUAAUUGUACGUGGCAUAACUGUACUAGUAAAAUAUUUGGGUCCCCACCCAAAAGUUCUAGGUCCAUUAUUGUUGAGGAAUUUCGCCUUUAUUAGAUAAAAUAAGGAACAAAUGGACAAAGGUACAAUAAAAUUUCUAAUAUCUAAUAAAGUAUGUGGUAAGUGUGGAAGAUUGACUUAUGUUAUACACCAUACGCACAUUAUACCUCAACCUCUAGCUGAGAAUUCUUUUUAUCAAUAUUUUCACGUUACGACAAAUAUCGGAGUGGAUAAAAGACAUCCGAUGUAGAGUUAUUUUCGGCCAAUCAAAUGCAGUGUUGGGUUUGUUUGCGAAAGAUGGUCAAAUUCACUACCGCUUACACCAUAAAUGCACCCUUUUGAUAGAUUGUUAAGCUUACUUAGUAAAACCAAUUUAGACUGUAUCUCUCACACGCCUCCACACAUAUGGCAUUAUUUCAAGUUUUACCUUAGGGUUGAUGACGGAGUCGGCGAUUGUGGCAGUUCCACGGAGGGCGUUGUCUACGAGAAGGAAGAGAGACUGGACGUCAACGUCUCCUUCGUCGGGAGCGUGAGUGUCCACCAUCUCCUUCAUGAACUUCUCGUCGUCGAAGAUGGCAAGCAGGCUGUUCAACAUGCUCUGGUCAACCUUGCUCCUCUCCCUCCGGAGAAUCAGGCCGAGGGUCUUGCUCGCCAUGAUCUCGAAUCUCAAAGAAAUAGAGCAAGAGGAGAGAGGCUAGGCUUUUGAGUGUUUAGAAACUAGAGGAGGAAGAGAGUGUGUGGGCGGUGUGGUGGGGUGAGGGCAGGCUUGCUCUAUUUAUAGCCGUGGAGGCAAGGAAAGAGACUAGAGAUAGAAAAGAUUAAAUUUGAAAAAAUGUUUUUAGGUGAACGAAAAACUAUCCAAAAGAGACCAUCGGCCAUUGCAGCGUGGAUGGUAGAUCUUUUGUCCUCCACCGAGGAGGUCAAGGUUCGAAGCCCCUGCGAAACAGGAAGGCUGAAGCGCUGUGUGGUGACUUGAGCAUGGCGUCGGGGUGGUGGUUUCUCUGCUAGUGAUACCUGGGGGUUUACGUGGCGGCUGUCGGCCAAAGCGAUUCCUCCAGCAUUAAAAAAAAAAAAAAACUAUAUAAGGUCUCGAUAGAUGAACUUGUCACUACAACCCUAACGAGGUGUAAGUGUGUAAAUAAGUCAAGCAUUGAACUCGGCACCGCCUUAGAUGAACCAAAGACUUUUGAGAUUGAGAUGUGUUCCAUAUUCAAAAUUGGAACCGUUUCUUCAUGUCCGUUGGAAUUAAUUUUGUAUGACUUGACCAACCACAUUACCAGCACAAGUUUCCAUUGUGAAGUAAUUCUUUUAUAGGUCAAUACCGCAAAAAAUUCCAAAGUAGUAUAUAUGUGACAAAUUUACCGAAACUAUUUUUUUUAUUAUUAAAAACUCUAAAUGGGUACAUUUCUCUUAGUGAUGAAUUUACCACUCAUCUCUACCAAAUUUAUGCUCAUCCAAUGAUGUAAGUGGUUUUUUGGUAGUUAAAAAAUUAGUUUGGGAUAAAUUUAUCACAAGUAUACAAGUUUAGAGAUUUUCAUGAUAUUAACCAUUUAGUUUUCAAUAUAUAUAGACUAUUUUAAGUAUGUAAAUUUCGAUACCAUCCAAGAAUUGUUGCAUUAACAUGCUCUAGUGAAAUUUCAUGUAAUCAUAAUUUGUAUGCUGUAAUAAUUCGAUAUACCAAUAAAUUUAUUAGAAUCAAUAAAUGCUGAGUAUUGGAAAUAAUAAUACUGAUUAUAAUUUAAUUUCAACAGAUUUAAAUUAAUUUACAAUUUUAUUUUUUUAUUUUUAGAAAUACGAUAUUCGUAGAAGUAUGCUUAUCAUUAUUAUUGUAUUCUAAGAUACUUCUCGGAUUUUUAGUUGCUCAUGAAUAACACGCAACAUGCACUUUGGAGCAACGGAUGAAGUAAAAGCAAUUUAUGACCAAACUCGCUCCCUACAAAGAAUUUUUAAAUCUCUAAGGUAAAGAAGUAAGGAGUUAUAUUGCAGAAUAAUUGCAAGAUGAAUUAUUAUUAUAAGUCCAAUCACUGUGGUUACUGAAUUAUUGAGUACAAAAUUCUAAAAAAGUCUGCACAAAAUGUAUAUUGUUGAGUUAUGUUUUCAAUUUUGAUUUCAAACUAGAAUGUAUUUUCUGAUAAGUGUUCAUCUAAUUACUGUGGUUUGAUUUCUCAUUUUACACGUUUUAACUAAAUCACCCAAUUUCUGAAAUCCUCAUUCAUUAGCUAAAUAUUGUCAUAGUUAUGUGAAUAAAUGAGUUUACAACUAUAACUUUGUCUAUGUGUUUGUUUAUCUUUAGAUGUAUUAGCCCAUGUUUGCACAUGAUAUUUUAUAUUAUUUAUUAGCAUUUCUUUAGUGACGGAAAUUUUUUUUUAUAGUAAUGGGAGAUGUUUUCAUAGAAUAAUGAUUUCUAGUAAUCAUUGGGAAGCCUUACCAGCUUUUAUAUGUUAUAAAACGGGAGGGAAAAUAAAAGAGAAAUUGGUUGAGAAAAUGGAGGGCGCGAUUCACGUGUCUGAUAGGACAAAGUGCUUUGAUUUUGCAUCGUCUCUUUUUGGUGGUAGGGCAAAGGUGCUUCAACUCUCAACAUCCCACCCCCCACGCCAGAAUAAUUCAUUAGCACUCCUUUAACCAGGGAAUUUCUUGGAUGCUCGAUUUGGUUAAUAAUUUUAUCAAGUAUCUUCAUAUAUAUAAUAUCAACGAUAUUGAAAGAUUUAACAAGUAAUAGUAAAGUCAAGUUUGACUCGAUAACUUACGAAUCAAACCACACACUAAUAAAUUCAAUUUAAUUUUGUAGUUUUGCACUCCUCCAAGUAAAAAAUUUAAAAUAAGUUGGUAGACACACCUAAAUUUGAAUACUUCCAGUAUUUAUUUAAACCCUAACCAGCUAAAUAGUUUGUCAUCUACCAAAUACUUUCACUUAUAGAAUGUACAACUUGCGAUUAUGUACUCAGUUUCACUAAUCUAGCAUUCAAUCAGCAAGUACACUGUGGAUCACUAGUAUCAUGUAUUCGCUUUCUCUUGUGCUCUUAUUUUCGGAAAUGGAUGGGUUUCAACCUCAUUUUUUUGUUUAUUAAGAAUGGGGUGUUUGGAAGUCUUUGGUCAUCUUAUUAAAUGAAUUUCACUCAAUGUCUUAUGCAUGUCAAUAGAUAAAGAGCAAGAAAUUGACACACGAAGUGACCCUCCAAAAGAAUAUGCAAGCAAGAUGAUUCAUAAUCAAUUUUAAAUGUGGAAAGAUCGAAAAAGAGGUCGCUCGAUUGGCUUGACCUGCCUUUCAUUGACGACUUUUGAGAAUCAAAUCAAAUCUUGUCCCCCACUUCAUAUCAACUUAGUUUCAGUGGUACAGUGGCUCCAUCAUCAUGUGUUUUCUUAGUCACCUGCCAAGGGCAAGAACGUGAAUGCAUUUGUAAGUUUGCUAUUGACCGAUGAAAGAAACAACGCAUUAAUCUUGCACUGGUGUCAUGAGAAGGAUGAAAUGGUCAAAAUUGCAAAAAUAAAAUGUAAAAGCAAUAGACAUACCUAUAAUCAUGAAUAGAGGCAAUAAAUGGACUUUUAUGUUACUUUUUUUGUAUAACAUAAUACGACUCAUUUAAAUCUUUCUAUUCCAUCAAUCUUUUAUAACAACACACAAAUCAGUUUGAUCCUAUGAUUUCACUCACCGAACGAGAGACAUAGUCUCAAAAAUUAUUCUUAGUUAAUGAAGUUACAAUUUGAGAAAAAUAUCCACCAAUCCAAAUCAAAUGCUAGACCCCUUUUCCUUUGGUUCCGAUAAGACUAGACCAUCAAUUGGUGUCGAGAAAAGUAUGUUGAGGGACGUCACCUAAUCACUCAAGCCAUUACGUCAGCACAAAACGGACAAAAAAUGUAGUAAAUUCUUAGAAUUACUUUAUGUCGUCGUGUUUCACAUUGAAAUGAAAAAUUAUGUUGUUUCUCUUUCGACGUUGAUGGGGGGACCAGUUUCUUUAUGUUAAUAAAGAGACUUUGGAGGGAUCAAGGAGAAAUCCAAGGCUUGUUAUUUUAUUGCCUCGAUAGGCGGAAAAAACUGGGCCCAAUUUGGACGUGUUGAAAUACAAACUGACGAGCACUCAUAAAAAUCUCUUAGAUUCGAGACAAUAUUUCUCUACUUUAUUAGAAAAAUACAUAUCAUGAACCUUCAUUGUUUAUCCUCAUGGAAAACUCUACUCUUACUUAUUUAUUUUUAUUUUUAUGAUUAAUACUAGUAAAAAUUCCAAAUCAGUAUCCAACCCAUAUCUAUUGUCCGACAUAUAUAUGUACCAUACAUAUUAAUUUUAUAAUUUGACGUAAAAAAAUUGAUGUGUUUAAUAUAAAAAAAAAAAUAAUGAAGACGUUACACAAAAUGUGGCUUCAAUGGAAAUAUAUGAAUUAGUGGAUGAAUCUAACCAACAUAAAAUAUUAAAAUAGUUGUGGCAAAAGAAGAAGUGCUCAACAAGUUUUAUGUUUUUCCAGCCUUAAAGCCUUCCAAAAUAAAGAAAACAACAAUGGCUAAGACUAAAGACACUCAAGUUUGCACGUUCAACAUUAAUAAAUUGGACAAAAUCGUUGAGUUAUUUUUGAAAGAUGGCCCAAAUAAUUAAUUGAAGGCCAAGUAAUUUCAAGAAAGGAAGACUUAGUAAACAAAUUGCAAGUGAUGCCAUUCAUUGAGCCAUACGUCAAUUAUUUGUCCCUAAAAAUAAUUCAAGAGGUAAUUGGGUAGCAAGCAAUCAAAUUUACUGAUGAUAAUGGGGUAUAUGAUGACUCUUAAUUAUCUAACUUAAAAGAAAUGAAUGGUUGAUAAAUCAUUCAAUUUUUUUAUGAGAAAAUGUCCAAAUGUUAUAGUCGACAAUUUGGUCGAUAGACACCGUUAAGGUAGUGAAAUUGAUGCAACCAUCGAGUAGUGAAAUUGAUGUAACCGUUUAGUAAUAGAGUCAUGUAGUCAUUCAUGUAACCGAUGAGUGAAGAAGUCUUGAUAAUCAUUUGUAACAGUCGAUUGCGAGCUAUAAAAUCUCACACUUUACUCUUUGUAAAGGACUAGAGUGCAAUUAGUGUAACUAUAUCUUCUAGGUACAUAUAGGAAUUCGAAUUAUACCACAGAAUAUUCCGUUGGGUGGAUCCGUCCGAGCCCCAUUUUGCAUUGAACCAUUGGAUGAGGGACACGUUCGGCGAAAAAGAGCAAAUCACGUGGAUCUGUUUCCAUAUCGGGACGUACCAUGACAGUGAUCGCAGUACGCUGUUUGUCUCCAAACGUGCUCCACGCAUCAACCGUUUUGGACGUACCAUUCGGACAAAUUUGUAGUGAGAAACCGAGAAGAGACCUCCAUUUGCCUUUGUGGACCCAAAAAACACGGCCUUGAGUAGCCAGCUGAAAGAGACAAUGAAUGCAUGUCUCUUCGUCGAUAAUCCUAACACGUGCUAAAAGAGAGGGGAAUCUAUCAUGGUUAAUAACGAACGAUGACGUUUGACGAUCAAGUUGGUGAUGAUGUUCGUAGCGCCUGUCAAUGGUCCCCUAAUUUCCCAGAGAUUAUUAGCAACAAACCCCUUGUGCCGCUACGUUACCUUGGAUGAUACGGCACAUUCUAAUCUUUCAGAUAACACUCAAGCCAUCACCGUCAGCGCAAAACGGACGAAUAUGCAGUGAAUUCUCGGAGACAUUUGAUGUUUGUCGUGUUUCAAAUAGAAAUCGAAAGAUUAUGUUUGUUUCUCUUUGCUGUUGAUGGGGAGAACCAGCUUCGAUAAUUGCAGUAGAUUGGGAACGAGUGACCAAAACGGAGACACGUUUCAUCUGGAUAGAUAAAUAGAAGUUGGAGGGGACCAUCGAGGAGAUCUAGGGUUUUUUUUUUUUUUUUUUUAAUUUAUAGGAUCGGUAGGCGAAUAAAAAUGGCCCAGAUUGAGCGUGUUCAGAUAGCACUAAUAAAAAUCUCUCAGAUUCGAGACAGUAUCUUUCUACUUUAUUAGAAACUUCAACGUUCAUCCCCGUGAAAAACCCUACUCUUACUUUCUUUUUAUGGUUAGUAUUUAUUUAAAAUGCCAAAUGGCAUUUCCAGUAUAGAUAGAUUUCCACCCACCGAACAUAGUGUGUGUGCUAUCAAAAGAUGAUCACAAACUAGUGACAUUGAAUGAUAUAUAUAACACAUAGAUUUUCUAUGUUGAAUUUGUCAUUUUUCAUAUCAUCUGUCACGUGUGUUAACACGGAUACAUUUUGAUAGGAUAUAGAAUGGAAUGACAUGGGUGGUAGAUUUGGGUCAGGGUACCAAUUUGGGCCCUUUGUUAUACAAAAAUUAAUUUGAGGUAGAUGUGUCAUAAAGUUAUCAAUUUCAAAUGUUUUGUAAGACGAAAAUCAAUAUAAGAUAAACAUGUCAUGAGGAUAGUGUGUAGAAGUGGUGGCAUGUCUAGGGAGCCACCACCUUGUCGUGGUGCUCCUUGACCGCGGCAUCAAAGAUCUUGCCAUCCAAUUAUUCCUGGAUCUCAUACCCCAUUACGUUUCUUCUUGUCUUCACAGGCUUUAAAUUUCUGGACAACUUGGAGAUAUUCCUCCUAGUUUUCACUCCCUUCAGCCCUAUUCAUUAACUCGGUGAGUCUUCCUUGUAGAGAGAGAAUCUCACAGGAUGUGGUUAUGAAUUUUUUGCUACUCCAUCGCCUUAGUACAUCAGUUACCUUCCUUGUUUUGCCCACAAUAUCUAGUUGGUAGCCUUCCUCAGCUCUACAGGCUCUUUGGAUCACUUUUUUUAUGUACAGAGUUUUCUACCAAGAAAGCUUCAAAUAUGAAUUUCUUCUUUUUUCCUCACCCCAAUUGCAUCUGAUUGCAGAAAAAUCAGACGAUUUGAACCAAUUGCUGGAGAUGCAUAUGCCUUUGCAUUAGGGAAUGAGACUCUCCAAUCCAUGUUGCAAAGAACCAUAUCAAGUCUUUUUUUUUUUGACAAGUUUAGGGCCUUCGUGGUUUUUAGUCCAUGUGUAAGUGCACAUUCGCUCUCUAUAUCCAUCAAUGAACAAAAAUUCAAGAAAUCCCAUAAUGCAACCAUUCUAUAACUAUCUAUUUCACGUUUUCUGACUUUUUCACACUAAUAGAAUACUUCAUUGAAAUCUCCAAUACAUAGCCAUGGGAGACAAAUCAAGACAUGAAUAGACCGUAAUGUUCGCCAUAAUUUAACCUUUCUUGGUAAUUAGUAGAAGCAUGAGGGAAAGAAAUUUUCAUGAUAACUCCCUAUUUUGAUCAUUGCAUCUAACGUCAAUGAGUUCUUCGGUACUUGUUUCUAAAUUCACCUUAACUUGAGGUCGCUCAAGGAAAUCAAGUAACAUUUUCCUCUCCUUUUUGAGAAUACUAUAAUCGUAGAAGUAUGUUUAACAUUAAUAUUGUAUUCUAAAAUACUUAUCGGAUUUUUUAGUUACUUCAAUCUUUUUAAAUAAGACAAAUAAUCCACUAAAGAAUUCCAUGACUACUCUGGAGCGACGGAUGAAUAAAAAGCAAAUUGAUGACCGUCGCGAUCUAAAUUUUCAGGGGCAAUCCUAAAGUUUAGGUUAAUGGAUUACUAAGUCCGAAAACUUGGCACGGACCCUCCCAAGUCCUACUAAUCGCGACUUGAUGUUAAGAAAUUUAAACAUGCAAUUAUAUUCAAUUUGGAGCCGCCACUAAUCAAUUAGGGUUGAUUAGAAACCCAAAUAAAGUAUGGAAGAAUACUUUAUUUUUACGAACCAGAGAUUCAAUGAGUCCGGAGACAUGAUUACGCUAAAUUAGUCUAACGCCCUUUCGGUACAUUUUAUUUUAAUUUCAAAAAUAUUUUGCAGGUAAUGUUGAUUAAUUUUAACCUAAAUUACUAACAUGCAAAUUGUGGUCAUGCGGGUGCACAAUCAAUAACAUUCAAUAAAAAAUGUUAAUAAAAAUGCAUGCUCUAAACAUGAUUUCUAAAUGACAAGACACCUAAUUUUUCUUUUUUUUCUUUUUUUUUUUAAAAUGUUAAUUAUAUGCAAUCUUAAUCUAAAUUUAAUAUGCAUAGAUUUAUUUUAAAUGACAUGCGAGAUGCAAUUCAUAUGGUAUGACUUAAACUUAUCAUUAUAUGUAUGCAAUUUAAUUUAUAUAAUUCUAAAUAUGCAUGUGCUACGUGAUAUGGGAUGAAUGACAUGGUAAAUCUAUAUGCAUGUUCUUUUUAUGAUUUUUUUUAAUGAUUUUUAUACAUAUAUGCAACCUACACUAAAUAAUGAUGAUAUGAAAUGAGAUUAAUUAUGAAUUAACCUAUUAACUAACCAAGGAAAUGAUCUUUAGUUUUUUUGAUCUUUUAAUGACAUAAUUUUUUUUAUUGAAAAUAAAGUAACUUAAUGGUGCAAUGAUCAUCUUUUAACAUUUUCCUUUUUAUUAAAAAAUAAACUAUAACUCACAUGGCAUGCAUAACAUUUUUUUUGUUUUACUAAAUGAAAAUUGAAUUAAUCUAAAACUAAUUAGACUAACUAAAGUGAAUGAUAUUCUAAUUUAUUUUAGGAAUCAAUUUAACUUAAACUAUAUUUUAUCCUAAAAGUUAUAUAAAAAAUCAAGACAUGCUAACAUUAUUUAAAAUUAGCCCUAACAAAAAUCACCCAUCUAAAAGUAUAAUCUAAAAAUUAUAAUCCUAUAAAUGCAAUUCUAAUUUUACUAACCCUAAAAAUACAGUCCUAAUUUACUAAACCUAAAUGCUCUAAUGCAAUAUUUACUUUUUGAUUUUUUUAAUCUUUCCAAACAAGUAAUUAUUUUAAAAGAAUGAAGAUAAUAAUUAAAAUAAUCGAAAAAAUAAUCCGUUGUCUCACAGAUUAAAUUAACAAUUAUUUUAACUCUAUAAUGAUUUAACAAUUGAAAUGCUAUCAAAAUUCCUAAAAAUUAAAGUAAUUAAAAAAAUAACCCGAUGUUUUACGGGUCAAAUUAAUAAUUACCAUAAUUUGGGAUAAAAUACAUGCAAUUAAUGCCUACAAGAUUUAUAAAAGAAAAGCACAUCUCAAUAUUCUAAAUUGAAUAAUAAUAACAAAAUAAAUAAAAUAAGAUAAAAGUUAGUGAAAAGUAAGAAUAAAAAUUAAAAAUUAAACCACCUAAGGGAAGGUGAAAAAACAGCAACGUGGUAAUCCGCCGAAGGUCCGGCGAGGGGCGUCGGCGGGCGUCGGAGCUCUGGCGAGGGUGGACCGGCGGCGUUAGCAACCUGGCAGUAGGGGUACGGCAGCAAUUGGCGUCACUCGGAGAGGAGGGUGGCCCGGAUCGGCGUCGAGCCGUGGGUGUCGCGGCGUCAAGGGAGGCCUGGUGCUCGGACGAAAGUGGGUCACGGCUAGGGGACAUGGUUCGCGAGCUGCGGAGCGUCGGGUCGCCCGAAGCAGGAGCGGCGGUGCUGGUGCAGUGGGCCGUGGAGCGCUUCGUGGGUCCGAACGGUGGUGCGGCUGCAGGUGGAGCAGAGAGCAGAUCUCCGGUGAAGCUAGGUAAUGCUGAUGCGGCGAGAUAGAGCAGGGAACCGGCGACUGGGGGGGCGUCGGUGCAGAAGAAACGCCGGUGCGGUGGCAGGCGUGGAAUCGGUGACUGGAGGCGUCGCUGGCGACGAUCGACUCGGGCGGAUCAACGGUGGCUUCGCGAACAGGGACACUGCGAGGCGUCGGCUCGGCGUUCGGUGGGGCGCAGACAGCAGCGGCAGAAGAGAUCGGGCAACAGGGGAGCCCGGAACAUAGCAGGGGGCAGCCGCGGCUUCGCUGGUCUCGUGGGUUGGGCGGAAACGAAGCUGAGGCGUUGCUGGUGCUCGGGCGCAGCUGCUGGCGUCACGGGAGGAAAGCGCUGAAGGUCGACGGGGCGGCGCCUGGUUGCUGGUGGGCCGGCGAGGAGAUCGGCGGCUGGUAGAACGGCGAGGAGCUCGGCAGAAAAGGUGCUCGACGAGCAGAAGCUUUAUUUUUUUUUCUUUCUUUUCUCCCUCUCUCCUCACGUCUCCAUCACUCUGCUCUCUCUCUCUCUCUCUCUGUUGCUGUCAACAGAGAAGGGAAAAAGCUUAUGCUCUUCUUUCUGCAGAACCUUUUCAGCUUUUGACUUUUCCUUCACAAAAACUCAUUUCUUUGGUGAAUGUUUUGAAACCGAAUGGAAAGCCCCCUUCACACUUUUUCUUUCUCUUCAGUUUUCUAUGUUUUUCUUCGACGAAAGACCAAGAGAAGCCCCCCCUGAACGACAGAAUUUUUGCUCUGAAUUUUUUCGAAUUUCUUCCCCCCGGAACAAAACAGAAGAAGCCCCCUAUUUAUAAAGUGAAAGCUCGAAUUCAUUUCGCAGGUGAAGAUUUUCUCUCAACCUUUCAACAACAAAGUGGCUCCAAAAUCUCAUGGUUGAGUUUUUGAAUUCAAAAUUUUUUUUUUCAAAAUUUCCCUUUAAUCAAAUAUUAUAUUUUAUUUUUUAAAAAUUAAAUUUAAAUAGGUGUCAACAAUGACCAAACUCGCUCCCUCCGAGUCAUGAAAUCUUUGCAUGAGUAGUAUUUUAUGUUCUAUAUUGGAAAAUUCUUAAAGCAGGGUUAUGGGUAUACAAAGCGAUGUGCGUAUUAAUUAGGAAAUAGAAACUUCAUCCACUCGAUUUAACAAACCCGAUUUCUCGUAAGAUCCGGACUCAAAAUAGAAAAGGACAUCAGACUCUUUUGUGUAUAAAGUAAACUGGAACUUGGCUCUCUCUGAUGAUAUAGAAAAGGAAGGACAAGUUGCUCUCUCUCUCGAUCAUAACGUCCGUAAGUUUUUAAUCUCCCACAAGUUAAGUUAAUUAUAACCCUUUUUUUUUUCCUGGAAACCAUUUGGAGACUUGUUGCUCGCUUAUGAUUCUGACAUCUUAGAUUCCUGAAAUUUCUUGAUCAGAGAGAGUUUCUUUUUUUUUGGUUCCUGAUCUCCGGAUGUCUAAUGUAUAAGAGAACAUAUGAUUGGUUGACGAAUUACGAAUUCAAACUGAGUCGAUGGAUUUAGAGGAUAGCCGACUCCAAUUUCAUUGGUGAAUUCAAAUGAAGUUGAUAACAUUAUCAAAUGUUUACCCUUGCACAAUACUGACAAUACUCAAAGAUUUGACUUUAAAUGGUAACGUCAAGCGUGAGUUGAUAGCUUAUAAACCAAACUGCACGUUGGUAAAUUCGAUUUAAACUGUGAAUGCUUUUGUAUGUUCGCCAUUCACCAUUUAAAGAAACGGCAUUUCAAUCAUGCGUUGGGGUCAUAAGAAUAUCUGAAUUUUUUUUCGGUUUAGAUUACUUUUGAUAGACGGCCACAAAUAGAUCUAUCCACUUAACUUCAUCAGCAAAAUGGUCGUGAUAGACAGAAAAGAUUAUUCCGAGUGAAUGGCGUCGUAACUUGAGCAUAAUAUCGAUUCAUCAAUUAACACCAUCGAAUAGGUUAAGGGACGUCACCAAAUCACGCAAGCCAUUCCGCCAGUACAGGACGGACAAAUUCAUGUAGUGAAGUCUCGGAAACAUUUGGUUUCAAAUUGAAGAGAAAAAUCAACGUUGUCCCUCUUUCGACGUUGAUGGGGAGACCACCUUCGAUGGCUGCCGUAGGAUGAGCACGAGCGACCGGUAAGGCAACGCGUGUGAUCUGGAUAAUGCAACAAAAAAUCAACCACGUUUUCUCUACUUUCCCCCCCUCUCAACUCCCAUCAUGUCCAUUUUCGAAGCGCAAGGAUGAUUCGCUCUUAUACAAGUACAUAUACAAAAAUACACAACAUUUUUUUUUUAAAAAUUCACACGGUAUCCUUCAUUAGCUUCAAUGAGAGGCGCAUUGGAAGACAAAGUGCCUACUUUCACAUUAUUGAAAAAAUUAUCCAAAAAGUCGUAAAUCUAUUUUUAAUUUUACCAUUUUUUUGGCAUAAAUUUUAUCAAUUGAGUUUUAAAAUUUUUUCACGUUUUGCCAAUUAAGUCAAUCCGAUUAAUUUUGAUUGGAAAUUGAUGACGUGAACAAUUUUAAAUAAUAUUUUAAUAUUUUUUGAAAGUUUUUUUUAUUCUUUUUUCUUGUGACCCUCGUUUAGUUUGGGCGAGGGCCAUGCUGUUCUCGCCUAUGGCCGAUGAGGGAGUGAAGGCCCUUGCCACAGGGGAGGGCAUGCCAAAUGGCAAGGAUCGUAGCCCUUGUUCAGACUAGGCAAGUCAGUCGGCGAACUCGCCCACCUCAGGUUAGAAAAAAGAAAAAAAGAAAAAAAAAGAGAAAAUAAAAUAACAAUAAUUUAGGAAAAAAAUAUCAAAUGUUAUUAAAAAUUAUUCACUUCAACUCUGGUCGUGCCACGUAGGACAGCCAACGUCCAUGUUAUUGAUGUUAGGCCAAAAUUGGUCGGAUGAACUUAUUUGGCAAAAUGUGAAAAUGUUUAGGACUUAAUUGGUAAAAUUGAAAGAUUUAUGAUUGAAUUGGUAAAAGUGCAAUAUGUUUAGAACUUUUUGAAUUAUUUUACCCACAUGGGUCUAUUGUUACAUUGGAAUAUUAUGUUUUCCUUGUAAAUUAGAAUAAAUACAUACAUAAAAGUAAAGGAAAAAUGAAAAAACAGCUAUUGUUCAGACAACUUUGUUAUGUCAACCUGAGACGGACCGACGACUUCCAUUGUCUUUUGUCAACCUAAAACACAGCGUGAGUCACGAGAUGAUAAGUGCAUUUUUUGGCAGUAUCUUGAACAGGUGCUGAAAGAGGAAGGGAAUCUAUCGUGACUCUCUUUCGUCUUCUAGAGUGACUAAGAACGAGCGAUAACCAUCACAAUGAUGUGAGCAGUAGUGUCUUCGACUGGCUCCCUUAUCUACAGGAGAUUAUUUGCGAAGGGCCUUGAAUCGCGAGGCUUCCUGGCUUUGGGCGUUGUAAUCUGCUGACCUAUACCGAGUGGGCACAUUGUUUUGCUUUUAUCAAGUCAAAAGGCGCCUUUUGGAACUAGCCAGAGGGUGAAAAUGCAAUAUAUGAAAAGAUAAUUUCUCAUGAAUAUGGACAAAAAAAUAAUAAUUCGGAAAUUCAAAAAUUUAAGUGUGGCCUAGCAAAGUAGCAAAGUGUCCAGAUUUAUCAAUAAUCAUAAAAAGAAUUCCUAAUUGAAUCUACAUAUAAAACUUACACGUCUACAAAGUUUCGAAUAUAAACUCAAAUUUCGAAUGUUAUAAAAAAAAUUAAUAUAUAGAAGUUAGAAGUCUAGAGAGUCGCACACUUUAUUGAAAAUGUAUGCUUAUUGCGCCUUAGAUUGGCAAUAAUUGGAAUUAUGUAGCCUGUUGAGUUUGAAGUUUAUAAUUCAAGAGACAUUGAUCAGCAUUCAACAUUCUCAAGAUGCAUUUUUGAAAUAGAUUGAGAAAAUGCAUUUUGACCAUUCCAUGCAUAUUCUUCGAAAAAAGUAAGCAUUCAUAUGGUUUUUUCGAGAUCUCUCCAAGUUUUUCUUUAGAAUUAUAUAUUCAAAUUUGUCGAUUCAAUUAAUCCAUAUAGAUACAUGUAUACUGUCCCGCUUUGGUGCAUAAAUGCAAGUUUCAUCCAUAAAGUGACGGGCAUGGCCUCUAAACAGCAACGGAGCCAGAAUUCUAUUAAAGGGGGAGUGAAAAUCUAUAUGUACUCUCCUUGAAUCUUUAAUUAAUAUUUUCUUUUGUUACAAGUAGAAAAUAACAUCACGCAAUAGAUUGAUACAAAGAACAGGUAAUAAAAUAUUUUUUAAUCUUUUAUUGAGAUUGGCAUAAUGAAGAAUACCGUUGACAAAAAUUAUAAGUAGUUAUUUCAAGUUUACUUCGGGAAGUUUCAUCUUUAUAAAGAUUCCAAAACUUAUAACUUUAGUAUUUUGUUAGGUUGAAACCUGAAUUUUAUUAGAGAUCAUGAGUCUUUACUAGUGUAAAUUGGAAAUGAUUAUUUUAAGAAAGAAAUGUCUCGUUUCUAUCGUCAAUCACUAAAGGUGAACGAGGAAUUUAAUGUUUCAGGCCAAUAAAUAAUUAAAAUAGUUAAAAACUUGCGGAUAUAAAAAUGAAUGGCCACGCCUUAACAUGAAAUUUAAGAGAUAGGCCAGAAGAUAUUCCUAGCACAAAAGAAAUUUAAUAAUUAGUAAUUUUGAGUUUUACUUGUGGGGGCUCAAGAGAGGCCGGAGCCCCUUGUUGUCCCUCUCUAACUCCACGGCUACCUUACAAGUUACUUUGUGUGGAAGAAACUGUGAUAUAAAUAUUCUAUCUGCCACAUUGAAACUGCACAUUUAACUUCCAAAAUUAAACUCGUAAGUAUGCGAUCUCUUUAACUUAAUGUUAAUCCAUAUAACUGAUCAACUUAAACAAAGUAGUAUCAUUUCAUUGAAAUUCUGUCGCUAAGUAUAGGUACGUAUCGACCCACAUGUUGUUGGCAAAACUAUUUUGGAGAUAUAUGAACAUUGUGAUCUUCACAGGUGCCAAUUGACAUAUACUCAAUAUUCAUCUCUCCAUCAAAUAUCUUGAAGGAGGCUAAUUUGACCCGCUUGUGCAUAGACACAUGUUAACUACUUCUUGAAAUCUAUGAAAAUUAAUCUUUUGGCUUUUGAUUAAUUUUCAUGGAUUCACACAAAUAGACCUGUGCACUUAACUUCAUUCUUAAAAUGGCCACCAUAGACUCAAAGAUUAUACCAAGUGAUUGAGGAUAAAUUGUCAAAAAAAAAAACCUAAACCAAUCGUAUUUUUUAUCAAUUUAAUUAUAAACAUUUUAAUUUUGCCAAUUCAGUUAUAAGCCUUUUCAUAAUUUGCUAAUUGAGUCAAUAUAGCUAAUUUUGGUUUGAACUCGUUGACGUGGAUGUCGGUCGUCUCUCAUGACACAACAAGUAUUGACAUGGAUUUGUUUUAAUAAUUAUUUAAUAUUUUUUGAAUUUACAUAAUAUCCAUCCAGAGCAAUCAACACCAUCGAAUAAGGGGGCGUUUGUUUUCGUUUCUUUUUUUUGUUCCUAGGAACAAAAAAGGAACAGAAACGCGUUUGGUUGCGUUUUUGUUCCAAAAUUAUUUUUUUGUUCCCAGAAACACAUUUGGAACAGAAACAAGAAACAAAAAAAGAUUGUUUCUUGUUUCUGAAACAAAUUUUAGAAACACUUUUCUUCUUCUUUUUUCUUUCUUUUUUCUUUGGCCGGUCGUUGGCCUCGGCCAGGGCUGGCCACCGGCCGUCGGGGGCCGGCGUACUCACCGGAGCGUCGCCGACCCUUGGCGAAGCUCGGGCUCGCCUUGGCUGGGCGAGCUCGCCCAGAUCCGGUGAGCCCGACCUCGCCUAGCGGCUGGCGAGGCUCGGCGUCGCCGGGCCACCGCUAAGUCGGCUCCUGGCGGUGGCCCGGUGAGGCCUCGCCUCGCCUCGCCCAGCCAGAGCCUGACCUCGCAUCGGGCUGGGCGAGCUCGAUCUCACCCAUAUCCGGCAAGGCCGAGCUCGCCUAGCAGCCGGCGAGGCUUGACCCUGAGCCUCGACAGCCGCGUCAGCCUCGCCCGACGACGGCCAGGCUAGGCCUAGCCUGGGGUGGGCGAGCCUCAGCUCGGCUUGGCCAGGCUGUCGGUCAUCUCCGGCCGGCCGGCCACUGUGGGCGAUGCCGGCCACCGGACCUGGGAAAAAAAAAGAAAAAAGGAAAAAAGAAAUAAGAAAAAAGAAAAAAGGAAAAAUAAAUAAGAAAAUAAGAAAGAAAAUAUAAAAAAUAUUAAAAAAUAAAAUAAAUAAAAGAAAUUAUACAAAUUUACCAAACGUGUUUCUAUUUAUUUUUUAUUCCCGGAACAAGUUUACCAAACGCGUUUUUUUGUUUAAAAAUUGUUCUCCGGAACAGAAACAUUUUUUUCUAUUUCUGUUCCCUGGAACAAUUUUUAAACAGAAAUGUUAUCAAAGGCGCUCUAAGCGUCCAGAAAGAUGUGUCGAGGGACGUCACUAAUAUCACACAAGCCAUCACGUCAGCACGAGGUGGACAAAGGAAGGGGAAGAUCAAUGCGGUCCCACUUUCGACGUGGAUGGGGAGAACCACCUCCAAUGACUGACGACGGGAUGAGAACGAACCAACCGGGAGACGCAACACAUGUUGUCUGGACGAUGGCCACACAGAAAUCAACCACCUAUGCUCCAAAACCUCGAGAGCGGACCACUCGAUGGAAUUUUCGCGUUUGUAAAAUAGGAUGUGUUCAAAUACCGACGGAUAAGCAGCGCUAGAAUCGGAGCCAAUGGCUCCAUUCAUCUUGAAAAAAAGUAAAUAAUAAUUUGAAAAAUAAUUUCCUAACUUGUAUUAUCUAUAAAAAUGAACCAACAAUAAAUAUUACAAAAAUAUUAAACUUUAAUUGUUUUAGAUAAUAAAAAUAUUUUUCAUUAACUAAUUAUUUUAUACCAUACUAAUAAUCAUUUUUAGGAAAAUGUUUUCGAGAUCGUUCAUUUUUUGCUAAGUAAAUGGAGCCAAUAUCUUUCUAUUUAUUUUUUAUCAAAAAAGUAUAUAUCGAUUUUCGUUUACAAAAUUUUACCAUGAAAAUUUCAUUGUUCAUCCUCAUGAAAAACUCUAGUCUUUUUUUUUUUUUUUUAAAACUAAUCAGCCAUCGAGUUCCUAGUUUACUCUACUUUCUCCCUCUCUCAGCUACCAUCAUGUCCAUUUCCUACGCGCACGGACGACACGCUCUUGUACAAAUAUAUAUACAAAAAUAUACAUCAUUUUCUUUUUAAUUUACAUGGAAUCUGUGAAAGCACAAUAUCACGAUAUCCAUAAUUAGAACAAGAACAUAAAUAAUAGAGUAGAGAAAUUAACGCAUUUAUUUUGGACCAUUGUUCUUGAUGUGGAAAAAUGAUGAUCCAAGUGCAAAUUCUUCUUUUCUAUUUCUCUCUGUAUUAUUGACUUAAUGAGACGGCCCCCCUCACCCUUAGUGCUUAGUAAACGCUCAAUGUGUGUUAAGGGUUAAAGGAGAGAUUUGAGCACUAUUUAUAGAGUUUUCAGCCAAGCUGUCUCGUUACGGGUUGAGCUCAACUCAACCCACACUAGCUAGUUUUAUAUUAGGCUAAUCAAGAAACCUUCUAUUUUACCUUGGACUAAUUUCAUAAAAUGAUAAAUUACAAUGUCAAUUAAUGUAUCUCAUAUUAUGAAAACUUUUACAUUAAUCACUUGCUUCAAUGAGAGUCACGUUGGAAGACAAGUGCUUUCACAUUGGUCUGUUAUUGCAUUGGGAUGUCAUGUUGUCCUCGUAAAUUAAUAUAAUUACAUACACAAAAGUAAAAAAAAAAAAAGUAUUAUUCGGACAACUUUGUUGUGUGAACCUGAGAUAGAGCUCCAUUGCCUUUGUCAAUCUAAAAAUGCAGCGUGAGUCACGAGAUGAUAAGGGCAUUCUCUAUCAAUAUCUCGACGGGUGCUAAAAGAGAGGGAAUCUAUCGUGACUCUUCAAUCUUCUGGUCGGCUGGUGGCCGAACACUAAUGUAGGAAUUUUUUUUUUCAACUUUUUUUAUUAAUUUUUUAUUUUCUUUUUCUUUUCCUUUCUCCCUUCUUCCUCUUUGGUUUGUCCCCGCAGUGGCCAAUGAGCCUCCAGCAAGGCUCGUUGGCCAUUGGAUGAGGGUUGCGGCCCUUGCCUAGGACUGUGGGCAAGGUGGAUUUGCCUGAAUCUAGGUGAAGCCAGCCUCGCCCUGGCCUUGCGGGCGAGGGCAGCUUCUCCCAUAGCUCCUUUAUUGUGGACAUGGACCAGCAGAGAGAUGCAUAGGUUCCCUAAUGUGCGCCAUGGCAACACUCAAACUUGACAAUGUUCCUCAUCAUGCGGGGACAAACCGGACACUUCACGUCCUCCGGGAUGUAGCCCACCAUGUUCGGGAUGCAGAAGUGGUGGCACCUCGGAAGGACGAAGACCCGCUCGCGGUGCUCCUUGAAGGCCGCGUCGAACGUCUUCUCGUUCCCUUUGACCUGCUUCUUCCAAGUGGUCUCGUACUGGGACAAGACCUUGGUGACGUCGAUUAUCGAGUCGUUGAUCACAACCUGCGACCCCCUCGUGAGGACCGCGAACCCACCAUCCUUUUUGAAGUUGGUGUAGAGGCAGAGGAUGUCCUGCAUGAGGGGUUCGUGCACAUCCGCUUUGGUUUGCAGUUUCGACAGCAUAAGGCUUUCGAGGUGGCUCCAGAAGAGCUGAUUUUUGGUGACAUUGUAGGCGGCGAUGGGGACGCCAUCUUCGAUGAUCUUCUUCACUAGCUCCUCAAUUUCGUAGAUUGCCUUGUUGUCUUCAGCUCCAUAAAGGAGGAUGUACCUUUGAGACUUGAUCUGAUCAGUGAUAAUCAAUCGGAUGAGUAAUCAAUGAAAUAAGUUUUUAAGGAUGGGUCCUCAUAUCUCUAUAAUACAAGCAAACGAUCAUGCUCUAGUUUCAAGUUUUCCACAAAUUUUCUGCAAAGCCUACCUCUAAAUUAAGAUGGGUCGUAUAUGUUAGCAGAAAUAAUACCCUCAUUUUUUUAUCUAAUAAAUCUUCCAAUUGAUUCUAAAUUUAAAUAAAAAUCUUUCUAACCCUCUAUCAAUUAAUUAAGAUCGCUUUAUAAUUUAACUCAGAGCACAGUUUUCUUCGUUAAGCGAAAGGGUAAAAGGAAAGUGAAAAAGAAUAAGAAAACAUAGAACUACUUACAGCUUCAUUUAUCUUAGGAAUGGCCAUGUCAGUCAACAAGAGCUCAAACCAGCUGAUGCCAGGCUUGCUCCAUAGGCUUGCUCCCACUAAUUCAGUGAAAGGGAAAGCAUCCCAUCCCCAAAGCCUCAUCAUGCUCAUGGCAUUUUUGUUUGAGACUCUUCCUUGGGGAUCCAACACAGUCACGAUGGUCUCUUGCCAAUACUACCACUUCUCCUUCAUGAUCUUGAUGGCCACCUUGUUGAUAAGUGUUGGGUAGCGCACUGAGUACCACGGCAUUUGCGACUAUAGAUUCUUGAACUGGUUGUUCAAAUCCUUGCAUUCUUGCUCGAUGAUCGGGACCCACACAAUCUCGUAGCGCUCCUCAUGGAACUUGCGCUCGCUGUAGAUCUUGAUGAGGAUGGCAGGUUGUGAGAGGUCAACUUUAGGUCGGAAAUCAGCAGCAUCACAUUUAUCCUCCGCAGGGACUUGACCUUAUCCUGUAUGUAGGGGAACGAUGAAGGAGGAUCAACAUUUCACUCCGUUGGUUGCUACCACUAGAGUCAACCACACAAAUUUACGCGAGGGCCUAAACUAGGUAUAUAAGUGCCACUUAGGUGAGAACAAAUGUCAUGUCUUGAUUUCAGCAAAUUAGUUGAAAAAAAAAUCUUUGACAAGGACGAGUUUACGACCAUAGCAUCAUUGCGGUACUCAACUAGGAAUACAAAGUUUGAUAAGGGUUGAGCUUCCCCAACUUACUGUUCACGGUUUCUCUCUAGAGGGCAAUUUGGUGACUGUUCCUGCUCUCAAGUUCGUUGCGGCUCCCGGAAGCUGGUGCCGACAAUUUGGCUUGAUUUUUUGUGUAGUAGCUCGCCUUCCCACCUGCUUCAUCCUCACUGAACAGAUUGUGCUGGUACGCUUUGCUUCUGCUUCAAUAGUCCAUUCGCUUUCGGGUUAGGGUUUCCCCUUCGCGAUUCCCGGUUCCCAUGGCUGCGUUCUUUAGUGCGAUCACCAAUUCGACAAUGCCCUCCUGGCGUCGAAAUCUACUUAUGGUCGAAGCCGGCUAAGGCUCUCUCUCUCUCCUCGUAAGCCUUCUUCCCCUCUUAAGGCCCUUGCGACAGGCUCGAUGGAGGCCCAUCUGGCUGCUUCCAAGGUCCCACAGGACAUGGGUGUUAGUCGUGGAUGGAGCUGCGCGCGACCCACCUCUAGACGAGUCCAGCCCAAUGAUCAGCAAGGGAAGGGCUCGAAACCCCCAUCAGCCCGAACAUGGGUAAGUGUUGCGAAUCUAGCUUCGAAGGGCUAUGAUUUGUCCUAUGUUCCACCCACAUUUGUUGAUAACAAGCUUGUUAUUACAUUGUUAGAGGAAAUUCUAGAGGCCAUAGACCCUAAGUGGCACGAGUGUCUUGUGGGAUACUUUGUAGGGAAAAAACUACCAUUUAAGCUGACCGAAUCAUCUUUAAAACAGGCGUGGAGGCAGAAUUUGGCUGAGGUGAUGGCUAAUGAGCAAGGUUUUUAUUUCUUCCAUAUACCUGACCAAGAGCUUAGAAGGAAGAUCCUUAAUGAGGGACCGCUUACAAUAGAUAGGGUCCCGUUAAUCCUCCAGCAGUGGCAGCCCUUUUUGGAGCUAAGGAAGGAUAACCAAACUUUCGUUCCAGUUUGUAUUAGACUCAAGGAUAUCCCCUUUGCUAUGUGGUCGGCGCCAGGGAUUAGCGUUAUUGCUAGUGCGGUGGGCAAGCCUCUUUAUGUCGACCUUAGAACCGAACAUAUGAAAAUGAUAUCCUUCGCAAGGGUUUGUGUUGAAAUCUUUGCUUUGCAACCUCGUUGCAAUUCUGUGGAUGUUGUUCUCAACGGGGAAACCCAUAUGGCGACCAUUGAGUACGAAUGGAGGCCAGUGUCGUGCCCAAGAUGCGGUACUUUUGGCCAUAGAUGUGCGGUCCCAGCAACUCCGACUGUUCGUGAAGAAGCUUCUUUUCAAGAUCCUACCUGUGUGAGCCUUGUUGCCCGUGAGAAGGCACUUGCCUCUGCUCCGCCGUUGUCUAUUGGUCUAGGAGCCUCAGAGAUAUCUUGGAAGUAGGUAGGAGAAAGGCAGAAGAAACAGUCUUUGGAGGGGAAGGUGCAGUCUGAGAUUCCUAGGGAGGCGUCUAUUGUCUCGUCAAGAGAGCCCUCUCCGGGGGCAAGGAUGGUUAGUGUAUCUCAAUCUACCCUGAAGGGUCAGAGUACUCUUUUGAAGGCUGGUGAUGCUUCCUCUCCUCCUGGUCCAACUAGUAAGGGUAGCAAGCAGGGAUCUUCAUCUUCUGCUUCAGUCGCAUGCUCAGAAGAAGAUCUGGAGAAUUUUGACGUCACUAGCUAGGUGAAUAGCUCGGAUAAAGAAGAUCAUGGGGUGGUGUGUCCUCCUUUCCCGUCUCUGCACCCUGCUAGAAAUAAGGACAAUACUUAGCAAGUUAAACCGCCGGAUCCUUCCCCUGCUCCACCUUCUCCUAUUGUCCCUAAGUCAGGGACUAAUCGUCAAAGGACGAGCAAACUGAGGUAACUCUAUCUCUGCCUCGUUCUCCUUUUUUGGGUAGUAGAUAUGUACAUAGGCUUUUGGAAUGUUACGGGUAUGGUGGACCCCUUAAGACAAGCUGAGGUGCAUAGCUUUGUCUAUUCAAAUAACCUCUGUUUUGUGGGUCUUUUGGAGACUAAACUACUGGAGGCUCUUUUUGCGACUAUUUCUACUAGUCUUUUGUCUAGUUGGAGUUGGUUGAACAAUUAUGAGUACUCCCAUAGAGGAAGAAUCUGGGUUGGUUGGAAUCCAAUGGAGGUGGAGUUUGAUGUUUCUUUGGCCAAUGCCCAGGCUAUUCACGACAGGCUCAAGUAUCUCAACUUUGGCGAGGUUUGUGAUAUCUCAGUUAUCUAUGCUGAUCAUACCUUUAUGACUCGGCAUCCUCUGUGGGCGGAGCUCGUUAGCACUAGCUCCCUCAAGCAGGAUACGACUUGGCUAGUUGCAGGCGAUUUUAAUGCCAUCAGAGACCCGUCCGACUGUGUGGGUAGUUCGGAUAUUUGGUUACCCUCGUUUGAUGAGUUUGGCCAGUGUCUAGCGGAGCUAGAAGACCUUAGGUAUGUUGGUUAUCAAUAUAAUUGGGUUGUUUCAUCUGGAGUCAACCAUAAACUAAGAAAGAUCAAUAGAAUACUUGUCAAUCACAAGUAGAGUUGUCAAAAUGGGUCAUUGACCUAUUUAUAAACUCAUAUAUGUUUAAAUGGGUCGUUAAUGGGUCAAGCUUGUUUCUCAAUGCACCCAUAAUGGGUUUUAAAAACAAAAAGACUGAGAUAUAUGGGUCUUAAAUGGGUCUGAGAGAAAACCCAUUUAAGACCCAUUUAUCAACCCAUUUACAAUUUCCCAAUGCACCUAUAUUCUCUUUUUCUUUUUUACUUUUCCUUUCUUUUCUUUUUUCUUUCUUCUUCCUCCGGUUGCUCGCAUGGCGACCGACCAAGAGCUCGCUGGAUCUAGCAAGACUCGAACUCGCCGGCGUCGGGCAAGGCUCGAGCCUCGCCGAUCUGGCGAGACUCGAACUCGUCGGCGUUGCGCGAGGCUCGAGCCUCACCAGAUCCGGCAAGGGGCGAGCUCGAGCUCGCCCGACGCCGGUGAGCCUUGAGCUCGCCAGAUCUGGCGAGGCGGAGGCCUCGUCAACAUCCAGCGAGGGGCGAGCUCGAGCUCGCCUGAUGCCGACGAGCCUUGACCUUGUAGGAUCUAGCGAGGUGGAGGCUUCGCCAACGUUCGGGGAGGCUUGAGGCUCGCUUGUGGUUGGUCGCCGGCCAUCGUUGUGGUCGGCGGCCGGCAAAAGAAGAAGAAGAAGAAGAAGAAGAAGAAGAAGAAGAAGAAGAAGAAGAAGAAGAAGAAAAAAAAAUAAAAUUAUAUUUAAAAAAUAAAAAAAUAAUUAAAAUUUGAUUUUUUAAAAUAAUUAUUUUAAAAAUUAUAAAAAUUGUCCAUUAAAUUUGUGUUGUAUAAAAUUAUUUUAGCAAUACUAUUUAAUAUAUAUAUAAGAAAUAAGCUUGGAAGUAUUUUAGUAAUAUAAUCUUAAAAAAAAACAUAGGAAUAAGUUUUUCUAAAUUUGGUUUAAUAUGAAAAUAUUUUAUUAAUAUGGGUUGGGUUGGGUAUGGGUCGAAAAAUUUACAUUAAGCAUAAAUAGGUCAUAAAUGAGUUAAUAGGUCAAUUUGAAUCGGAUCAUUAAUAACCCGACCUAAACCCGACUCGAGCCACCCAUUUAAUAGCUUUAAUCACAAGUGGAGCCAAGUAUUCUCCUGUUCGGAAGCUUCGUUCCUACCGCCAGGCAUCUCAGACCAUUCUCCAAUGGUUGUGAGAGUGUUGGCCCCUUUUUAGUAGAGGAAACCUUUUAAGAUUUUCAACUUUCUAAUGAAACAUCCACACUUUAGUACAAUUGUUACUUAAGUUUGGGAGCAACUGGGCACGGGAGUUCCAAUGUACAUCUUGGUUAGCAAACUCAAGAUUCUCAAGGGCCGGCUAAAGCAACUCAACAAGGAUUCUUUCUCGAAUAUCUCCACCAGGUCGGCAGAUGCUAGAGUUGCCUUACAGAUAGCUCAAUACACCCUUGAGCAGCACCCAACAAGUCUGGUGCUUGCUGAGCGAGAGAAUUGCCGGUUGAGGGAGUUCUCAACUCUUAAGGAUCAGGAAGAGUCCUUUAUGCAAAAGUCCAAGAUUAGAUGGCUAAAGGAGGGGGACCGGAACCCAAAAUUUUUCCACCAUUCGGUCAACAAGCGAGCAUUAAGAAAUAAAAUCCUUUAAGUACCGUGAUGAUGAGGGAAAUACAAUCACCGAGCUAGGCUUGGUUCGGCAGCGGUUUAUUGACCACUUUCAGGACCUCCUUGCACCGAGAGAACUACCAGGGCGUCCUUCUAUCUAGGAGAUUUGGGCAGUACUGCAACGUACCCUCAGUGAUGAACAGGUUAGAUCCUUAUUCCAACCUGUUUUUGAUCUAGAAAUCUAAGAUACUGUUUUCUAUUUGCCACGCGCUAAGGCCCUCAGACCAGAUGGCUUCAAUGCGGAAUUUUCAAUCUUAAUAGGGAGAUAGUUGGCUUGCUGGUUCUUACAGUGAUUAAAGACUUCUUCAAUUCUGGGAGGAUUCUUAGGGAGAUCAAUAAUACCAUAUUAGUGUUGGUACCUAAAGUUCCUAAUGCUUCCACAGUCUUUGACUACAAGUUGAUUGCGUGUUGCAAUACGAUUUAUAAGUGCAUUAUCAAGCUUCUGGCUAAUUGUUACUGCAGUGCUUCAGGAUGUAAUCAGCCUUGCCCAAAGUGCCUUUGUAAAGGGCAGACGAAUCCGAGAUAAUAUUCUACUCGCUCAAGAGUUAUUUAGUGGUUUCCACCUGGGGACUUAUUCGCUUAAAUAUGUUGCGAAAGUGGAUUUUGAAAAGGCUUAUGAUACUCUAGAUUGGGAUUUCUUAGAGUUUACCCUUUGUGCUUUUGGGUUUCCAGAUCACUUGAUCAAACUGAUCAUGAUUUGUUUUCACACUCCUAGAUUCUCCAUUGCCUUAAAUGGAGAGCUGCAUGGUUUCUUUGCGAGUGGACGUGAACUUCACCAAGUUGACCCCUUAUCUCCUUAUUUGUUUACUUUGGCUAUGGAGGUUUUUUUUUUUUCUAGAAUCUUUCUUCAUCAGUCCAAACAACCGAGUUUUAAAUUCUUCUAGAGGUGUAAAGACAUAGGCUUAUUUCACAUUUUCUUUGCAGAUGACGUCUUUCUCUUCUAUGAAGCAAAUGUGGCCUUGGUUUCCCUCCUCAAGGAAGGUUUGAGAAUUUUUUCAGAAUGGAGUGGGCUGAGACCCAAUCUAAACAAGAGUGAAGUUUUUCUUGCUAGGGAGACAGAGGUCAUUCGGUCCCAAACACUCCAUAUUUUUGGUUUUCAGGAGGGGAGGCUUUCGGUUUGCUAUCUUGGAGUUCCCAUCAUCACCACUAGACUUGGGAAGGCGGAUUGUAUAUUGCUUAUCAACCAUAUAACUGCAAUGGUGCAAUCUUGGACUCAAAGAUUUUUGUCCUUCGCAGGCUGGUUAUGACUUAUAAGGUUAGUCCUUCAUGCCAUGCUAGUGUGUUUACAAUUCCUAGAGCUGUGUUGGAUCGCAUUGAGCAAAUCCUAAAAUAGUUCCUUUGGAAAGGCCCUGGGCUGGGAAGAGGAGGAGCAAAAGUAUCCUGGGAUGAUGUUUGCUUUCCUAAGAAAGAAGGGGGACUAGGCAUACACAAGUUGCGGGAUUGUAAUAUUGCAUACAUGCUAAAACAUAUAUGGAUCCUAUUCAUCGACAAGGAAUCUUUUUGGUGUAAGUGGAUCCACUCGAAUUUCUUGAAGAGGAAAAAUUUUUGGGUUGUAAACAAGCCCACCAUUUGCUCGUGGACCUGGAAGAAUAUGCUCCUUCUUAGGAGGGAUUUUCGCAUUUUCUUCAAAUGGUGUAUUGGAGAUGGUUGUUUUGUCUCUCUCUGGUUUGAUUAUUGUCAUCCAAGAGGGCAUUUGAAUAUGUUAUUAUCAGACAACUACAUUUACCGGUCAGGUCUUUCUAGGAAGGCCACGAUUGCGGACCUUUUCUCUCCUAAGGGCUGUGAGGUUAGGAUUAUGGUGGAGGCGUGGGAGUUUCCCCUUCCCCCUAUAUCACAGAGGCUGGAUCGCUUCCAUUGGAUAGAGAGCAUAACUGAUACCUUCACGGUUGCGUCCACGUGGGAAACCAUUAGACCAAAAAGAGCUUUGGUCUCGUGGUACUCUCUUGUAUGGAGUAGCUCUCUCACUCUACGUUAUUAGUUCAACCUAUGGCUCAUUAUGAAGAACCGGCUUCCUACCCAGGUUCUUCUUUUGUCCUAUGGGAGGAUUGAUGACGAUUCCUGUGUUUUUGCAACUCUAGGUUGGAUUCUAGAGACCAUUUGUUUUUUUGCUGUCGCAUCACUGUAGCUCUUGCAGCCUUUUAGGCGGCUAGGUGCAACCUUCCUUGGAGGAAUGAUAUUUGGCAGCACAAUCUUCGGUGGGCCUUGAAGUACCUCACGGGCAAAGACUUCCACCAUAGCAUCGCUCAUUUCUCCUUUGGUACCCUGUGCCAUUUGAUAUGGAAAGAGAUGAACAAACAUCCUCUUUAGGGAGAAGACUUUGUUUAUUCCAGCCUUGAAGAACCACCUUAUUAGAGUUGUCAAGGACAAAGCCUUGACCUUUUCUAAUGUGGAAGACAGCACUCGUAAUAGGAGGAUGCAAUGUAGUUGGGAAAUUGACCCUUCUAUCUUCUCCCCUGUGGUGCCUGAAUAUGCCCUGUAAAUGGGAGUUGGUGGGUUCUUUAACUUAUGGGCUCUGGUACUUCUGUUGACCGGUCGACGGCUGCUCUCUUGCGUCUUUGCUUCGGUUUGGGAGAUGCUAACUCUCGGCUGCUUUGGUGGUUGGGUGUUGUUCCUUUGGAUGUGAUUGCGGGCGUAUGCUUCUGGUGGGUGUGUACUCUCUUGAUGCUGCUCUUGUUGGUGGAUGGCUAGUUCCUCCUCUGUUUUGCUACCUCUUGUGGGCUAGGUUGUUUGGUUUUUGUUUUGUAGCUAUUGUUUAGGCUACGUUGCCUUUGCUAGCUUUGUGUUUGCCUUGUCUGGCAGCUGUUGUUUGUUUUGUUGGCACCCUUCCACUUGUUCGGACUAGAUUGGCCUUACGAGUGUAAGUUUUUGGUGCCAGACUGUUUUGUAUAGUGUUGAUAAAAGCUCAAUAUAUUAUUUUUUUUUUGUACAAAAACAAAACAUAAAGUUUGACCCAAAAAAAAAAACAUAAAGGUUGUGGAAUUAGAGAGCUAAAAGAUUGAAUCGUGGUCUUCUUUGAGCCAAUGUAGAGUGGCUGACGAUCGUCCUUGAUGUAAACCAAGGCCUUGAUGAGCUCCACAUUAUCAGUAAGGGCAUUGAAUAGUCGCUGCAGCCUUUGAUACUCUCUAAUUUCCUUUGCAUUCAAAUUGAAACUGAUGAGUACGUUAGUCUAAUAUUCAAAGCAUAGAUAUCACAAAUCGAAGGAAUUAACUUUUACCCUUCUUUUUCUUGUAAUCUUCGUAAUGUCUCUUGAUAGUGUGGUAGAUCAUGUUCACUUUCCGAGCAAAGGUCGGGAGAUCGUUUCCCUUGUAGCUGAAAAUAAUAUAAAGCCCUCUUUAAGAAAAGGAAAAAAAAGAACGCUCUCCUUUAAAAUUCAAGUCUGUUGAAAUGCUUUUUAGAUGAUUCAUUACAUGUUUUCAAAAAGAAAUAAAAUAAAAGCUGUAAAACAUGUUUCUUUUUUCCCAAAAGAGACGCAAAAAAGGGGAUCGUUAGUGACUCGUACUCAUCGACGAGGCUGAUGAGGCUGGUGAACUGAAUCGAGCAAGCGAGGACAUUGAUGAUGAUUUUAUAAACGCUGGUUGGGAUGUCGUUGCUGUGGACAACUUGGGAACAUCUUUGCUGUCGUGCUCGAACUCCACAAUGCACUUAGUCAUGCUCAAUGUGGUCUUGAUCAUUUCAUUUAGAACUCCAUACACUGGAUCUCUUGCACGUCCGAGGGCUUGGUGUGGCAUCCCAAAAUUCAAGUCAUCCUCUAGAGAAAUUAAAGCCUAUAAUUAGGUAAUGAAAUUACCUAUGGUCUAUGUGUUAGCCAUUAGUUUUCUUAAGGCUAGGUGUUAUUGUGCUUGUGUUUAUGAAUUUUGAAUUUAGGACUAUAGGAUAAAUUAAUAAUCUAUGCUUGGCCAUGCACUUUAUAAAUUAAAUUUCAAUAAAUAAAAUGUCAUAAGACUUUGGCCAUGUGGAAAAUUUAAAGUUUAAAAUAUUUAUAAAAGAAAUUCAAAAAAAAAAAGGGAAAAAGAGGGUCAAAAUUCGAUUGGGCCUUAAGCCCAAGAGUGGAACUUUAAUGGGCCAAGUUGGCCGGCCCAUUGAAGCCCACAAGGGGGCUGUCGACCAGCCCAAGAGGAGGCCCAAGAGUGGCCGGCCCAAGCCCAAAAGCCCAUCUUGCAUGUGUUGUGACAAGUGGCAAGAGGGGUGGCAUGCAUUGGGCAUUGGGGAGGCAAGCUAAUGAUGAGGUUUAAGGGGUAUAAAAAGGGGAAGGAAAGGAGAGAGAAUGGCUGGUUAGCCAUUCGGCCAAGAGAGAAAGGGAGAGAGAGAGAGAACCGUGCGAGAGAGAGAGGAAGAGGGUGCGGCAGAGAGAGAGAGGAAGGAGGUGGAGCCGAGGGGUUGCCGCCGUCCGUCCGCCGUGUUUGCCGCCGUACGCCGUCGUUUUCUUCGGUCUAGAGGCAAGUGGAGUCCUCUAGCUUCUCUUGCAUGCUUAUAUGUUGUUUGUAUGUUGAAAUCUUGAGUGAUAGAUGUCAAAAACCGAAGCUUGGAUGUGUGGUGUGUGAGUAGCGUGACUGUUUUCGUUCGGAUCAUGUGAGUCAGAAACUUGUUUGAGCUUGCAUGUGUGUUUGGAGUCCGAUUUUGGCUUCGAUGUCUUCAUGGAAGUUGUAGCUAACAUCUUGUACUAUAACAUACUGAAAUUUAGUGAAAAAUUAUGGAGAUUUGAGGGGUUAAAGUCUUGUUAUACGGAGACCUCAGAUCUGGAGAGUUUUUACUAACCUCUUGCUGGAUUCAUGGUUGUAUGUUGGUUUUUGUUGAGAAUAUCACUUCUGUUUCUUCAUGAAAGUUGUAGGUAACACCUUAAAAUACAACAUACUAAAAUUUGAAGAGAAAUGAACAAGUAUAGCCUAGUAAAUCGGCUAGAUCUUGGGGACGAUGAUUCUGGUGAUGUGUUCCGAGACACCCGAGACUUCAUGGACUUAAAUGGUGACCAUACUUUGGUUAUUUGACCUAGAUCUAUUGAUGAAACUUGUAAAGGACACCUUGAUACAUAACAUAUCCAAAUUAUAGAGAAAACGAAAGAGGAUAGGUAGGUUAAAUCUCAGUAUUUCGGAGAUGUGUAUUCUGGACGAUGCGGUAAGGGUUCCAGAAGCUUCGUGAGGUUUAAUAAAAUAAUAUAUAAGGAAUCUGACUUGGAGUUCUUCAUGAAAGUUGUACGAAAAUGUCUUGGGUAUAACCCAAUAAAAUUUCAUAAUUUUUGGAGGCCAUAUGGAUAUUUUAAUUGAAUUUAUUCGGAAACCGUGCAUUCUGGUUUAAUCCGAGAAUCAUAGGAUGUUUUGGGAAAAUUGUGAGAUUUAGUAAAAAUUCAAUUUGGCCAUGAAUUUUGCAAGUAAUUAUCAUCCUAUGGGUUUGUUUAAUAAUUUCUUGGAUUUUGAUAAUUUUGGGAAUUUAUUGAUAUUAAAUAAUAAAUAAAUAAAAUAAAAUAAUAAAAUAAAAUAAAAUAAAAUAGAUUUUUAUUUGGCCAUGGAUUCAAUUUUAUUUGUGUGGCAUAUAUGUGAUAAAGUCUUGGUACAUGUAUUGAAUUGAGAUGCAUGUGUGAUAAAGUUUUGGUAUGUGUAUGACAUUUGAAUUGAGAUGCAAGUGUGAAUUCCAUGUCAAGUGUGAUUUGUUUGAUGCCAUGCCAAUUGCUAUGUUAAAUUGAGAUAAAGAAAUGGUAAAUGUGAAUGAUGGUAAAUGAGGAAAUGGUUGUGGUGGAGGAUGAUGGCCGGAAUGUAUAGAGAUACAUUACCGGAUUUCCCCGGGAGUGUCGGGAUGCCCGGUGGUAUACGGUACGUAAUUCCAGGGGAGGCCUGGUGGUAUGUCGGUACAUAAUUCCGGAAGCCCUGUCGGAGGUCUUUGCUCGAAGGGAAUGCCUAGCGAUGCCAGGAUUUGGGUGCGAGAUGCCCGGCUAGAAGGGUAAAGGCCGGAUGUCCGGUUGUAUCUUGGAUACAUGCCCGGAGGUUCCUCGUGAUGCUAGUUGGGAUGCGAGAUGCCCGGAAUGUGGGGGGCCGGAUGCCCGGUUGUAUCUUGGAUACAUGCCCGGAGGUUUUUCUCGCAUGGGAUGUGAGUGUAAAAUAUGGGAUGAAAUUGAUGAAUCGAGGAAGGGUGAUGUGGUGAUCAAAUUUAAAGAUAAAGAUGAAAAUUAACUCAUGGCAUGAUAUGGUAUGAUAUGCAUGAUGAUAUGCAUGAUGAUGGUGAUGAUAUGUGAUGUGAUAUGAUGAUCACCCAUGGUAUGAUAUGCAUGAUGAUAUGCAUGAUGAUGGUGAUGAUAUGUGAUGUGAUAUGAUGAUCACCCAUGGUAUGAUAUGCAUGAUGAUAUGUGAUGUGAUAUGAUGAUCACCCAUGGUAUGAUAUGCAUGAUGAUAUGUGAUGUGAUAUGAUGAUCACCCAUGGUAUGAUAUGCAUGAUGAUAUGCAUGAUGAUGAUGAUGUGAUAUGAUGAUCACCCAUGGUAUGAUAUGCAUGAUGAUAUGCAUGAUGNNNNNNNNNNNNNNNNNNNNNNNNNNNNNNNNNNNNNNNNNNNNNNNNNNNNNNNNNNNNNNNNNNNNNNNNNNNNNNNNNNNNNNNNNNNNNNNNNNNNGAUGAUAUGCAUGAUGAUGAUGAUAAUAUGAUAUGUGAUGAUGUCAUGAUAAGGAUGACAUGUAUGAUAUAAUGAUGCCAUGAUGAUGAUUAUGAUGAUGACAUAUGAUGAUAUGAUAUGCAUGAUGAUAAGGCAUGAUGAUGCAUGAUAGUAUUACGCAUGGCUGCAAGGUAAGUUACACCUGCAAUGCAUGUAUGAUUUGUAUGAUGCAUCGAGUUGUUAUUGGAUUCCUUUACUUGCUGAGUGGUUGUACUCACCCCUUUUGGGGAAUAACAUUUCAGAUUAGUAGAUGGUUUAAGCGGUUGGAUAUGAUCGCGAGGAGAAGGAUAGCAAAAGGAGGGAACCUUUGGACGCCGACACUGGUUGAUGGACCUUAAGCAUACGAUUGUGGGAGGAGAUGUCGGUCACCUUUUAAAGUGUAGCAUAGUAUAGAAAACUAUGGCAUUUUGAUGUACAGACUAAAUAUGUCCAUUAGCUCUAUGUAAAUAAACGUGUUCGGCUUUUACUUAUAAAUGUUUAGUAAGUGUGCAUCGUUUUCUGAAUGUAGGGAAGGGAGUUUGUUAGAUGUGCUUCUGUAUGUGAAUUGCGCAAGGGACCUAUAAAAAAAAAAGAAGUGUAAACCCCCUAUGUUGUAUGGACCCGCUGCAAUUGAAAUGGUAUCAGAGUGACAUGUUAUUAGGAAAAUAAAUGGUAAGCAAACUGUGGCGACCCAAAUCGGAUUGGGGGCCGUCGAGGGGUGUCACACUUGGUGAUUGCAGGUAACCCCUUUAGUAUGGCCAGCGAUUCCGCGAGCUUGUCCGAUGGUUGGAUCUAAGCGAGUCGCCAAAAGUCGCCAUAGAAUAGAGCAAGCGAUGAAAGAGUAAUAACAGCCUUAUUGACCCAGGAGUAGCUCGACAGCUCGUGAAAGAUCGAGAUCAUCAUUUC
RNAcentral lists this long non-coding RNA (33292 nucleotides) under Eucalyptus grandis. RNAcentral's name for it is "long non-coding RNA (EGRA_LNC004514)". The record is from RNAcentral. Lineage: Eukaryota; Viridiplantae; Streptophyta; Magnoliopsida; Myrtales; Myrtaceae.